GGGUUGUGAGGUUAAGCGACUAAGCGUACACGGUGGAUGCCCUGGCAGUCAGAGGCGAUGAAGGACGUGCUAAUCUGCGAUAAGCGUCGGUGAGGUGAUAUGAACCGUUAUAACCGGCGAUUUCCGAAUGGGGAAACCCAGUGUGUUUCGACACACUAUCAUUAACUGAAUCCAUAGGUUAAUGAGGCGAACCGGGGGAACUGAAACAUCUAAGUACCCCGAGGAAAAGAAAUCAACCGAGAUUCCCCCAGUAGCGGCGAGCGAACGGGGAGGAGCCCAGAGCCUGAAUCAGUGUGUGUGUUAGUGGAAGCGUCUGGAAAGGCGCGCGAUACAGGGUGACAGCCCCGUACACAAAAAUGCACAUAUUGUGAGCUCGAUGAGUAGGGCGGGACACGUGGUAUCCUGUCUGAAUAUGGGGGGACCAUCCUCCAAGGCUAAAUACUCCUGACUGACCGAUAGUGAACCAGUACCGUGAGGGAAAGGCGAAAAGAACCCCGGCGAGGGGAGUGAAAAAGAACCUGAAACCGUGUACGUACAA
RNAcentral lists this ribosomal RNA (538 nucleotides) under Escherichia coli. Its description in RNAcentral is "partial 23S ribosomal RNA". It matches the Rfam family "Bacterial large subunit ribosomal RNA", at positions 1 to 569 of the family's 2925-position model. Lineage: Bacteria; Pseudomonadati; Pseudomonadota; Gammaproteobacteria; Enterobacterales; Enterobacteriaceae. The record is from RNAcentral.